RNAcentral lists this ribosomal RNA (200 nucleotides) under uncultured bacterium. RNAcentral describes it as "partial 16S ribosomal RNA". It matches the Rfam family "Bacterial small subunit ribosomal RNA", at positions 29 to 222 of the family's 1533-position model. The record is from RNAcentral.
AGUGAACGCUGGCGGCAGGCCUAACACAUGCAAGUCGAACGGCAGCACAGCAGUAGCAAUACUGUGGGUGGCGAGUGGCGGACGGGUGAGGAAUACAUCGGAAUCUACCUUGUCGUGGGGGAUAACGUAGGGAAACUUACGCUAAUACCGCAUACGAACUACGGUUGAAAGCGGCGGACUCGCAAGAGCGUCGCGCGAUU